AACAUCAAGCAUGAUGAUGGGCUAAGAGCAGUGGCUGAAUACCUGAAAGAUGGGUAAAGAAGUCACAUUCCUGGACCUAAAGAUACAAAUAAAAGAAAAUGGGACAUUAGAAACUGAUGUCCAUAGGAAAGAAACUGCGGUCAAUGCACUACUGCAUGCUGAAUCCUCCCAUCUAAAAUCCACCAUAGAUGGAAUACCCAUUGGGCAAUUCGCACGGAUAAAGAGGAUUUGCUCCAAUGAGAAAACUUACGUGAGAAUGUCGAGUGAUGGAUGGCUGGAUUCCUGCGUCCAGUAUGGUUCAUUGAAAUAUGAGGAGGAAAA
Molecule: long non-coding RNA, 321 nt
Organism: Bufo bufo (common toad)
Lineage: Eukaryota; Metazoa; Chordata; Amphibia; Anura; Bufonidae
Exons: 3
Source: RefSeq, a predicted model, not a curated record